GUAGUCUGNAACCCGACUACAUGAAGCUGGAAUCGCUAGUAAUCGCGAAUCAGAAUGUCGCGGUGAAUACGUUCCCGGGUCUUGUACACACCGCCCGUCACACCAUGGGAGUCGGAAAUGCCCGAAGUCAGUGACCCAACCGUAAGGAGGGAGCUGCCGAAGGUGGAGCCGGUAACUGGGGUGAAGUCGUAACAAGGUAAC
Molecule: ribosomal RNA, 201 nt
Filed under: uncultured bacterium
Lineage: Bacteria
Description: partial 16S ribosomal RNA
Rfam family: Bacterial small subunit ribosomal RNA
Source: RNAcentral